UACGAAGGGGGCUAGCGUUGCUCGGAAUCACUGGGCGUAAAGGGCGCGUAGGCGGCCAUUUAAGUCGGGGGUGAAAGCCUGUGGCUCAACCACAGAAUUGCCUUCGAUACUGGGUGGCUUGAGUCCGGAAGAGGUUGGUGGAACUGCGAGUGUAGAGGUGAAAUUCGUAGAUAUUCGCAAGAACACCGGUGGCGAAGGCGGCCAACUGGUCCGGAACUGACGCUGAGGCGCGAAAGCGUGGGGAGCAAACAGGAUUAGAUACCCUGGUAGUCAAGGGCGAAUUCGC
Molecule: ribosomal RNA, 286 nt
Filed under: uncultured Hyphomicrobiales bacterium
Lineage: Bacteria; Pseudomonadati; Pseudomonadota; Alphaproteobacteria; Hyphomicrobiales
Description: uncultured Rhizobiales bacterium partial 16S ribosomal RNA
Rfam family: Bacterial small subunit ribosomal RNA
Source: RNAcentral